AGCGAACGCUGACGGCAGGCUUAACACAUGCAAGUCGAGCGGGCAUCUUCGGAUGUCAGCGGCAGACGGGUGAGUAACACGUGGGAACGUACCCUUCGGUUCGGAACAACUCUGGGAAACUGGAGCUAAUACCGGAUACGCCCUUAUGGGGAAAGGUUUACUGCCGAAGGAUCGGCCCGCGUCUGAUUAGCUAGUUGGUGGGGUAACGGCCUACCAAGGCGACGAUCAGUAGCUGGUCUGAGAGGAUGAUCAGCCACACUGGGACUGAGACACGGCCCAGACUCCUACGGGAGGCAGCAGUGGGGAAUAUUGGACAAUGGGCGCAAGCCUGAUCCAGCCAUGCCGCGUGAGUGAUGAAGGCCUUAGGGUUGUAAAGCUCUUUUGUCCGGGACGAUAAUGACGGUACCGGAAGAAUAAGCCCCGGCUAACUUCGUG
RNAcentral lists this ribosomal RNA (435 nucleotides) under uncultured bacterium. Its description in RNAcentral is "partial 16S ribosomal RNA". It matches the Rfam family "Bacterial small subunit ribosomal RNA", at positions 29 to 507 of the family's 1533-position model. The record is from RNAcentral.